RNAcentral lists this ribosomal RNA (119 nucleotides) under Pteropus alecto (black flying fox). The record is from RNAcentral. Lineage: Eukaryota; Metazoa; Chordata; Mammalia; Chiroptera; Pteropodidae.
GACUGUAGCCAUGCCACCCUGAAUGUACACAAUCUCAUCUGAUCUCGGAAGCUAAGCAGGGUCGGGCCUAGUUAGUACUUGGAUGGGAGACCACCUAGGAAGACCAGGUGCUGUAGGCG